Molecule: ribosomal RNA, 490 nt
Filed under: uncultured bacterium
Lineage: Bacteria
Description: partial 16S ribosomal RNA
Rfam family: Bacterial small subunit ribosomal RNA
Source: RNAcentral
AGUGAACGCUGGCGGCAGGCCUAACACAUGCAAGUCGAACGGCAGCACAAGAGAGCUUGCUCUCUGGGUGGCGAGUGGCGGACGGGUGAGGAAUGCAUCGGAAUCUGCCCAUUUGUGGGGGAUAGCCUCGGGAAACCGGGACUAAUACCGCAUACGACCUACGGGUGAAAGCAGGGGAUCUUCGGACCUUGCGCAGAUGGAUGAGCCGAUGCCGGAUUAGCUAGUUGGAGGGGUAAAGGCCCACCAAGGCGACGAUCCGUAGCUGGUCUGAGAGGAUGAUCAGCCACACUGGGACUGAGACACGGCCCAGACUCCUACGGGAGGCAGCAGUGGGGAAUAUUGGACAAUGGGCGCAAGCCUGAUCCAGCCAUGCCGCGUGUGUGAAGAAGGCCUUCGGGUUGUAAAGCACUUUUGUUGGGAAAGAAAAGCAGCCGGUUAAUACCCGGUUGUCAUGACGGUACCCAAAGAAUAAGCACCGGCUAACUUCGUG